Molecule: ribosomal RNA, 254 nt
Filed under: uncultured bacterium
Lineage: Bacteria
Description: partial 16S ribosomal RNA
Rfam family: Bacterial small subunit ribosomal RNA
Source: RNAcentral
UACGUAGGGUGCAAGCGUUGUCCGGAAUUAUUGGGCGUAAAGAGCUCGUAGGCGGCUUGUCGCGUCGUCCGUGAAAACCUGCGAGCAUCACUGCAGGCUUGCGGUCGAUACGGGCAGGCUAGAGUUCGGUAGGGGAGACUGGAAUUCCUGGUGUAGCGGUGAAAUGCGCAGAUAUCAGGAGGAACACCGGUGGCGAAGGCGGGUCUCUGGGCCGAUACUGACGCUGAGGAGCGAAAGCGUGGGGAGCGAACAGG